AUUGAUUUUAUGCUUGCAUAAAUGAUUUUUGGAUUCGGAGCGAGUGGCGAACUGGUGAGUAACACGUGGGUAACCUGCCCCGAAGCGGGGGAUAACAUUUGGAAACAAGUGCUAAUACCGCAUAAUUAGUUGGAACCGCAUGGUUCCAACUUGAAAGAUGGCUCUGCUAUCACUUUGGGAUGGACCCGCGCCGUAUUAGUUAGUUGGUGAGAUAAAAGCCCACCAAGACGAUGAUACGUAGCCGACCUGAGGGGGUAAUCGGCCACAUUGGGACUGAGACACGGCCCAGACUCCUACGGGAGGCAGCAGUAGGGAAUCUUCCACAAUGGACGAAAGUCUGAUGGAGCAACGCCGCGUGAGUGAUGAAGGUUUUCGGAUCGUAAAACUCUGUUGUUAAAGAAGAACAAGUGUUAGAGUAACUGUUAACACUUUGACGGUAUUUAACCAGAAGGCCACGGCUAACUACGUGCCAGCAGCCGCGGUAAUACGUAGGUGGCAAGCGUUGUCCGGAUUUAUUGGGCGUAAAGCGAGCGCAGGCGGUUUUGUAAGUCUGCUGUGAAAGCCCUCAGCUCAACUGGGGAAGUGCAGUGGAAACUACAAAACUUGAGUACAGAAGAGGAAAGUGGAACUCCAUGUGUAGCGGUGAAAUGCGUAGAUAUAUGGAAGAACACCAGUGGCGAAGGCGGCUUUCUGGUCUGUUACUGACGCUGAGGCUCGAAAGCAUGGGUAGCGAACAGGAUUAGAUACCCUGGUAGUCCAUGCCGUAAACGAUGAAUACUAGGUGUUGGAGGGUUUCCGCCCUUCAGUGCCGCAGCUAACGCAUUAAGUAUUCCGCCUGGGGAGUACGACCGCAAGGUUGAAACUCAAAGGAAUUGACGGGGGCCCGCACAAGUGGUGGAGCAUGUGGUUUAAUUCGAUGCUACGCGAAGAACCUUACCAGCUCUUGACAUCUUCUGCCAACCCAAGAGAUUGGGCGUUCCCUUCGGGGACAGAAUGACAGGUGGUGCAUGGUUGUCGUCAGCUCGUGUCGUGAGAUGUUGGGUUAAGUCCCGCAACGAGCGCAACCCUUAUUAUUAGUUGCCAGCAUUUAGUUGGGCACUCUAGUGGGACUGCCGGUGAUAAA
Molecule: ribosomal RNA, 1123 nt
Filed under: uncultured bacterium
Lineage: Bacteria
Description: bacterial SSU rRNA
Rfam family: Bacterial small subunit ribosomal RNA
Source: RNAcentral